This 325-nucleotide ribosomal RNA is filed under the name uncultured bacterium. Its description in RNAcentral is "bacterial SSU rRNA". It matches the Rfam family "Bacterial small subunit ribosomal RNA", at positions 373 to 710 of the family's 1533-position model. The record is from RNAcentral.
GGGCGCAAGCCUGAUGCAGCGACGCCGCGUGAGGGAUGGAGGCCUUCGGGUUGUAAACCUCUUUUAUCGGGGAGCAAGCGUGAGUGAGUUUACCCGUUGAAUAAGCACCGGCUAACUACGUGCCAGCAGCCGCGGUAAUACGUAGGGUGCAAGCGUUAUCCGGAAUUAUUGGGCGUAAAGGGCUCGUAGGCGGUUCGUCGCGUCCGGUGUGAAAGUCCAUCGCUUAACGGUGGAUCCGCGCCGGGUACGGGCGGGCUUGAGUGCGGUAGGGGAGACUGGAAUUCCCGGUGUAACGGUGGAAUGUGUAGAUAUCGGAAAGAACACC